AACCUAGCACACCUGCGGUGUGUACCUGCGGAAGGAUCAUUCAAGGAUUCAUAAUUUAAAAGGAAAUGUAGAGGGAAAAGUAAUAUUUUAUUACUUGACCCGAAACACCUUUUAUUUUUACACCUAACCAAUAUUUUUGGUAGUGACCUUUUUAAAAAGUGUAGUGUUUGUAUUGUCAAUGUGGCAUUGCAAAUGUGCUUACUUUUUUCAAGUUCACACUAAAUUAUUUGGCUGAUAAAA
RNAcentral lists this unclassified non-coding RNA (240 nucleotides) under soil metagenome. RNAcentral's name for it is "partial contains 5.8S ribosomal RNA, internal transcribed spacer 2, and large subunit ribosomal RNA". The record is from RNAcentral.